Thunnus maccoyii (southern bluefin tuna) is the source of this 3726-nucleotide long non-coding RNA. RefSeq lists it as uncharacterized. NCBI's taxonomy places the organism in Eukaryota, Metazoa, Chordata, Actinopteri, Scombriformes, Scombridae. The transcript is spliced from 2 exons. The record is from RefSeq and is a predicted model, not a curated record.
GUGGAGGAAAAAAAGAGGAAACCAGAUGAAUGAUGAUGAAUGAAUUUUGAGAGAAAAAUCAGGGAGAAGGAAAGCGAUGUGUUGACAGCGUGGAGAAAUUGAAUUAGCAGCUGCAGCGCCGGGAACAUUGAAUCACAUUAGGAGCGCAGCAGAGGAGCAGAGGCUACCUGCAGGCCUCCUCUGCUCUCAUGCACAUGACGACACCAAACCCAACACAGCAGAAGUCUACUAUAUAAAGCCAGACAUAAUCAUAUGCACAAAAUAUUCAUAACUUCCCAUCAAGACGAUGAAAAAAGUCUUAGUUUCGAUUUCAUUAAAUAGUCUAAAUCGUCGUAUUUAUUUGUUAUUUUGAUGCUUGUAAAAACUUCACUAAAAUCAAUAUAAUAAUUGUCAUUUAAAAUAUUCAGACUUGAAAUUAUUUAAAGUAUGAUGCAAAUGAUCAGUUUCAACAAGUGGUAGUUAUGUCGCGUUUAAAGAUGACUGACAUCGAGAUGAUUUUUUUUUUAAAGUUUUAAUUGUUUGCAGCUUCAAAAAAUCAUUAAAACAAAAUGACGUCAUGUAAUGUCGCACUUGGUCUGUAAAUGAUUUGAAUAUAGAGUCGACUGGAGUCCGACUUCAUCUAAAGACAAUAACCUUAAAACAGUCAACCGUCAUAUUUAUCAGAUUAUGUUGCAAACUCUAUGAAUUAAUGCAGGCUAAUUAAAACGAACGUCAGCCUUAAAAUAAACGGAGUUGUAUCCUCAUUUCCUCUUCUGUACAGAUCAGUAUUUUAUGAACUGCAUUGUAAAACCACAUAAACCCAAAACAACUCAGACAAAAGCUGACACUAGUAAGUGUUUCUUGACGGAUAAAUAUGGCGCACGAAAUAGAAGCUGAUCCAGAAAAAUCCUGCUCAUGUUCCUGAUUCACAUCUAAUCUCCAUCCAACCUGACAGCAGCACACUGAGCUCAGAACGGUGAGCACAUCUCCAGCUUUGUCCCGGACACAUGUUGCACUGCGCAGGUUUGCAGACACCUUAUGGCGGGCUUUAGUCGUGAUAAAGCUGUCGUUGCUGUGCCAGUCGCUCCGAGAGGAGCUGCAAGGGCCCUGGAGGGGCCUGUAGGGGCCUAUAAAGGGUCGAGUGUAAAGGAAAAUGUGCAACAGUUAAAUUUUAGCAUCAUUUCUUCUGGCAGAAAUGAUCCUGAUUCUUGAAUAAAUCUAAGAAAUAAACAGAAAAUCAGCUUUUAGAUGGAUGGGCAAUUCAACAAUAAUUCAAAAGUCUUCUUUUACAGAUACAGUUUGAUCUACCUGUAGUGUAACAGUCAUUUUUCACAGCAGACAUUUUGACUGUGUUACUAAUAACAGUAACAAUAGCUCUGUUCUAUUCAAGUGUCCCAGUAAGCCGUCACAGUGUAACAACAUGCACAACACCAGGACCCUGAAACUGAGGCAGCUAAAUGGAAUUCAGCUCUCAUUCAUUUUAUUCUUUACACCUGUACAAUCAACUCAUUAUUGAAACAGAAGAAUAGUCCCUACAACACAGCAUGUUGAAUUAGUGAUGGAUUAUCAUUAUUCAUGUUGUUCUAUCAGAAACAUUUAAUAAUAUUUAAUUGUAUCAUAUGGAACCUGGUGAGUACUUUCUUCUCACUUCUCAGAAUAUCACCUUAUUUUCCAUGAAGACAUUUUAAUAUUAAAUAUUGAAAUCUUUCCAGAGACUGAAUCCGAUCAAAUGGUGAUGUAUUUGAGGUCCAGGCCAUGAAAACCUCCUGCUUCCACAAAGAAGUGACUUUUAUGACUCUCUGUGAAGACAGAGCGAUGGAGGAACAUGCAGGCACUGUCCAAGGUAAGAGUCACUCUCAGAGUUACUCAGAGUGACUGGUUUACACUGGAAUAUAAAGUGAUGAGUCCGUUCUGAUCAUUGGCUCUUUCCCACGUUAACACUUCAGCUGCUUGUCUCUCAUGUUCUUUCUUUUGUGAUUUUCACAACCAAAAUGACUGAUUUUGGACUGAUCGUUUCCAGUAAUACAAAGAAUUUAAAUUAUAUAUUUUUUUCACCUAUUUACAAAAAUUAGGAAACAAUAUACAAAAAACAAAUGCUAAUCUCCAUAGAGAUUAACAAAAAAGCAAAAAUUUUUAACAUCAACUCAUCAACUUUCAGAAUCAAACAGAUUUUUUCUUGUGACAAAUCUCCUUUAAAACUGUUUUCUUAUUGUGAAUGAGUGUAAAUACACGGAAAUCUACAUUUGUUAGUAAUUAUAAUUACAUGUCAGUGAACACAACUGAUUUUCCUUUUCAACUUAACUUUCCAUAUUGUGCAGUCUAACAUUACAUAUGCACCAAAAUGCCAAGUUAUAUGAUAAAACUGCAAUUUGUUUGUUCACUCUAACAAAAAAGGUUUGAUAUUUAGAAUUUAAAUUCCACAAUUUCCUAAAAAUAAAAAAGGUUCGUAGCCUGAUCUAUAUGGUAAAUUAUUCUAGAAUUGUACAUGUCAGUAGUAAUAAAGAAUGAUGAGGUGAGAUAUGAAAAUUAUAGCAUUGUUUUGAACUUCUUCUCCAGUCUCAACAGCAGGGGAGCAUGGUUUAUCAUGACAUAGCAGCAAUUUGCUGAAAAAACCAUAUGCUAGAAAUCUCCAAAGUGAUGUCACCUGCUUAUUUGCAUUUGGAUGUACUUACCUCAGUGCUCCUGGUCAUGUUGUGAAUGGGUGCACAACACACAGUUUGGAUAAGAAAAGCAAGCAGCACAAUUAUACGCAUCAACAUCAACAGUGUUGUUAGUGUAACAAACGAGCAUAUAGUAUUCCCUCAGGUCCAACAGCAUGAUGAGAUCUUUCUGCUUGUUGCUUUUUAGAGAUGAAGUCAGCAGGAGGUCUGAAAAUCUGGUAAAGUCACUAAAUUGGAAAUAAUGGAGGAAAGAAAAGCUCAAAAUAAUUACAAAACAACCUAGUCGCACUAGCUAUGUUGAGUGAAUGAUGGCUCACUUUUUUCACCGUGCAGCCCUCAUGAACCACAGUGUUUUCAAUGAAUGGACCAGUCUUCUUACUUUACCCUUCAGGCUGCUGACCUGCUGUCACCCAACAUACUGUUAACAUGGGGCCAAUGAUCAUUAAGCUGCUAGCAUCACAGUGUAUGGAUAAGUCCAACCUUUUUAAUCAUUUCUGCUUGCUAACCAAGCUAAUGCUAAUAUUUUAUCACACUUCACCAAUUUGACUCAAAUUCAAGUGCAUCAGUUUGUCCUGAGAUGAUUAUGAAGUGCUGUGUUUGCCGUCAUGUUCAUGUGAUGUCUCUUAAACUGCCUCUCUUGCUUCAAUCUACUUGGACUCAACAUCCAGUGACAUCCACUGCACUUUUACAAGCAGGAGAAUAGACAUAAAAACUUCUGUUUUAAAAUUUGCUGCAUUUACAUUGAAGGCAGCUGAAGCUCUCAUCCAGAGAGAGUUGAAUGGAUAAGCAGGGAUUUACGGUUUGUUUCGGUUAUUGUAACAGGACACAUGACUUUCUGAGUUCACUGUGUUACUGCUAGAACACACUGCGGCUCAGUUGUUCAGUAUUUUAGAAUUUAUUCCCAAAAUGAACAGUGUCCUGAUUAAACAUGCAAAUUCAUUUUAAACUGAUGUGAUGUGUGUCAGAUUGAAGGUUUUGAGUGUGUGUAUCCUCAUUAGAUACAAACCAUAUUGUUAAUUAGCACAGAUAUUAAACACUGUAAAAAGUUUGUAAAAACAUGUUGGAAAAAAAAUAAAAAGGUUUUAAA